AGCAUCAUCAUUAUUGUGUACCUCGCGUCGGCGGUUGCCACCCAUACCUCUACGGUUGUGACGAAGGCGACGUCGAUCACGAGUGUCUUGAUCAUCAUGUUCAGUAUCACCAGUGUAGUCAUCUUCAUGACUACCGUGCUCUCGAUCUCCCUCCUUUUCUUCUUUAUGCUUCUCUUUAUCUUCGGUGUGGAAAUCAUCAAAUCGCCUUAGGAGAGCAGCAAGGCUUUUGUCCACACUAUCAACGGAUUCCUCCAAACUUGUGAGCUUGUUGUUUGUGGCAAUCUGCGUAGCCUCCAACGCCCCAGCUUUUGAUUUGUCACCUGCAAGUCGUUAUCAAGUCCCUCUGUGUGCAGCUUCACUUUCCUUUCAAAAUGUUGUAUGAUGCCCUUAGUGCGAGGUGUAUGUGGUGUUUCGUUACCAUCAUCUGCCCCUGGCAUGGUUCAAAGACAAAGACAACAAAAGGGCAAGUGAAGAAAUAAAAGACCUACAACUACUAGGAUGUAGCUACAGCAAGUCGCUCACACUCAACCUGUAACACAAGUUCUUACCAAUUCUUACCUUGCUUGACAGGAGGGGUCGUCUGCCAACAAGUGUACAACAAUGGACGAAGUGUAUCGGUGCUGCAGCACAAGACCUGUCAAGCUGUAGAGUAUGUGGAGCUAUAGGUGGGCUGAAACAAGGAACGAACUAGCACCACGUUAGUUAUAAAAGCGAGCUGAAUAAGCGUUCGACGAUGGUACUGUGGUGGUCCUAGGCUAGACCGUGCUAGAGACGCGAGCCUAGACACAAAGGAAAACCACAGCACACCCCCAAAAACAAGGUGGAACAAACCUAAAAUCAAUAUGAAAAACAGCCCCCCUCUUUUUCGUUUGAAUCUUUUCUCUUUUCUCUUUUCUUUUUUUUUCUUUUUUUUCUUUUUUUUUGGGCAACCUCAAAAAAUGAUUAUAUGAACAAAAGAAUACAAAAGAGCAAUUCGCUACACACACUUUUUUCCAAAAGUAAAGGGGUACUCUCUCUCUCUUUCUAGAGUAAGGCUGAACAAGUAUGGAGUUAUCUUUCUUUUUGGAGCACAGAAGGACUCACAUAGACGAAGUUCAGGCUAUAUUAACAAGCGGACUCCAAGUUAUAUUCGGUUUCCACUCAGAACCAACCACAAAACGGAUUCCACCUAUUGCCGAGUUCUACUCGGUUUCCUUCUUUUUUUUAUCACGUUGGUGGAACUCAGAUUGGAACUCUACUCGAUCCGGACCAAGACCACAGUUCAAUUCGGACUUCGCAAUAGAUUCGACAGAGAGAAGAUAUGGUAAUACUCGGCUGUGUAUAGAUGGUGACAAGAACUCGAAACUCUAAAGGACUAAACACUAAGACCAGCAACUCGACACAAACCGAUGCAACGCAAAUUCAACAAGCCCUAACUAAAACGGUACUAGCCAAGGCACAAAGUGUAAGUGCAUCUAGCCCUUUAGUGGGUUUUGGUGAAGUGAAUGACAACACAAUUAAAGGUAUAACAAGUUUGCUAAGUGUAUCAAAGUGUCAACAAGAAAGCAAACUUGAUGGUAUUUCACACAAUGUUCAAAUGAAUACCAAAGUUGUGUGUUGGUGUAAACUGAAUCUUGAUUGAUAUCAACACUCAUACCAAGAAGAUAUUCAAGCAAGAAUCACAAUAUUGAAGAAACAAUUUUUCAAUGGAUGCUUAACAUGAUGUGACUUGAGUAUGGCCUGAUAGAGUGAAGAUAGCAAGGAAAAGGCUUCGAGGGACUAAGCGAAGGUGAAGGUCAAGCAAUGGCUUGUAGACCGAGGUACCAUGGCUAAGGUGAAGAAGAAAGUACUUGCAUUGAGUCGAGGUACUAAUUAAGCUAUGAGGAGUCAUAUUGUGUUGAGGAUCAAAUCUUUUAUCAAAAGUGACUUGAAGUCAUGGAUUGAACUCAUAUAUGUUGAAAUGAUUCAAGUCACAUGCUCAAGCUAUAUUUACUCAAAGAGAGAAGACAAAGUUGAUUGCAUCCUUGAUGAAGUGAUAUUGAGAAGAAGUGGCAUAUGAAGACAUUGA
This 2047-nucleotide long non-coding RNA is filed under the name Sorghum bicolor (sorghum). RNAcentral describes it as "long non-coding RNA (SBIC_LNC018598)". The record is from RNAcentral. Lineage: Eukaryota; Viridiplantae; Streptophyta; Magnoliopsida; Poales; Poaceae.